UACGAAGGGGGCUAGCGUUGUUCGGAUUAACUGGCGUAAAGCGCGCGUAGGCGGGUUUUUAAGUCAGGGGUGAAAUCCCAAGGCUCAACCUUGGAACUGCCUUUGAUACUGGAAAUCUUGAGUCCGGGAGAGGUGAGUGGAACUGCGAGUGUAGAGGUGAAAUUCGUAGAUAUUCGCAAGAACACCAGUGGCGAAGGCGGCUCACUGGCCCGGUACUGACGCUGAGGUGCGAAAGCGUGGGAGCAACAGG
Molecule: ribosomal RNA, 250 nt
Filed under: uncultured bacterium
Lineage: Bacteria
Description: partial 16S ribosomal RNA
Rfam family: Bacterial small subunit ribosomal RNA
Source: RNAcentral